This 492-nucleotide ribosomal RNA is filed under the name uncultured bacterium. RNAcentral describes it as "partial 16S ribosomal RNA". It matches the Rfam family "Bacterial small subunit ribosomal RNA", at positions 29 to 507 of the family's 1533-position model. The record is from RNAcentral.
AGCGAACGCUGGCGGUAGGCCUAACACAUGCAAGUCGAACGGCAGCACAGUAAGAGCUUGCUCUUACGGGUGGCGAGUGGCGGACGGGUGAGGAAUACAUCGGAAUCUACUUUUUCGUGGGGGAUAACGUAGGGAAACUUACGCUAAUACCGCAUACGACCUACGGGUGAAAGCAGGGGAUCUUCGGACCUUGCGCGAUUGAAUGAGCCGAUGUCGGAUUAGCUAGUUGGCGGGGUAAAGGCCCACCAAGGCGACGAUCCGUAGCUGGUCUGAGAGGAUGAUCAGCCACACUAGAACUGAGACACGGUCCAGACUCCUACGAGAGGCAGCAGUGGGGAAUAUUGGACAGUAGGCGCAAGCCUGAUCCAGCCAUACCGCGUGGGUGAAGAAGGCCUUCGGGUUGUAAAGCCCUUUUGUUGGGAAAGAAAAGCAGCAGGUUAAUACCCCGCUGUUCUGACGGUACCCAAAGAAUAAGCACCGGCUAACUUCGUG